GGGGGGCGAGAGAAGAAAAAUCAGCUGUGAUGUCAGGAAGUCAGUGACAAGUAAACCCACAUGAAGUUUUUCUGCCCUGUCGGCUACAGGAUGAUGCGAACUGUUUCUACGAAUAUGUUACACGAUCAACGAUCGGAAGAUAACAAGUUACGUUAAACAAAAUCACUAAUUGUGAUUUAGGUUCAAUACGAAAGGUUUGAAGAAAAAUCUCAACGACGUGCUGUCACUGAAGGCAUCACACAGAGAAACCAUUGCUUUCCCCCAAAACCAUCCUGUCACAGGGGAAGAGGAGGAGGUUUUGACCUAAGUGACUGAACUGGUCAAAUUGUCGAUCUGACAUCGAGAGCAGAAUGAAGAACAUCUCUCUUCUGUGGCUCCUCUCAUGUCUUUUAUCCUGUCUUCCUUCUCUCACCCCAACCGGUCGCAGCAGAUGGGUUUCAAACAUCAGAAUAAAAUUCUUCUGAGUUG
This is a non-coding RNA of Maylandia zebra (zebra mbuna), 468 nucleotides long. The record is from RefSeq and is a predicted model, not a curated record. NCBI's taxonomy places the organism in Eukaryota, Metazoa, Chordata, Actinopteri, Cichliformes, Cichlidae.